RNAcentral lists this ribosomal RNA (260 nucleotides) under Pantoea ananatis. Its description in RNAcentral is "partial 16S ribosomal RNA". It matches the Rfam family "Bacterial small subunit ribosomal RNA", at positions 548 to 794 of the family's 1533-position model. Lineage: Bacteria; Pseudomonadati; Pseudomonadota; Gammaproteobacteria; Enterobacterales; Erwiniaceae. The record is from RNAcentral.
GGGGACGCGUAUCGGAUUACUGGGCGUAAAGCGCACGCAGGCGGUCUGUUAAGUCAGAUGUGAAAUCCCCGGGCUUAACCUGGGAACUGCAUUUGAAACUGGCAGGCUUGAGUCUCGUAGAGGGGGGUAGAAUUCCAGGUGUAGCGGUGAAAUGCGUAGAGAUCUGGAGGAAUACCGGUGGCGAAGGCGGCCCCCUGGACGAAGACUGACGCUCAGGUGCGAAAGCGUGGGGAGCAAACAGGAUUAGAUACCCUGGUAAA